GAAGGGGGGGUGCUUACACAUGCAAGUCGAACGAUGAAGCCCUUCGGGGUGGAUUAGUGGCGAACGGGUGAGUAACACGUGGGCAAUCUGCCCUGCACUCUGGGACAAGCCCUGGAAACGGGGUCUAAUACCGGAUAACACCCGCCGAGGCAUCUCGGUGGGUUGAAAGCUCCGGCGGUGCAGGAUGAGCCCGCGGCCUAUCAGCUUGUUGGUGGGGUGAUGGCCUACCAAGGCGACGACGGGUAGCCGGCCUGAGAGGGCGACCGGCCACACUGGGACUGAGACACGGCCCAGACUCCUACGGCAGGCAGCAGUGGGGAAUAUUGCACAAUGGGCGAAAGCCUGAUGCAGCGACGCCGCGUGAGGGAUGACGGCCUUCGGGUUGUAAACCUCUUUCAGCAGGGAAGAAGCGAAAGUGACGGUACCUGCAGAAGAAGCGCCGGCUAACCUACGUGCCAGCAGCCGCGGUAAUACGUAGGGCGCAAGCGUUGUCCGGAAUUAUUGGGCGUAAAGAGCUCGUAGGCGGCUUGUCGCGUCGGAUGUGAAAGCUCGGGGCUUAACCCCGGGUCUGCAUUCGAUACGGGCAGGCUAGAGUGUGGUAGGGGAGAUCGGAAUUCCUGGUGUAGCGGUGAAAUGCGCAGAUAUCAGGAGGAACACCGGUGGCGAAGGCGGAUCUCUGGGCCAUUACUGACGCUGAGGAGCGAAAGCGUGGGGAGCGAACAGGAUUAGAUACCCUGGUAGUCCACGCCGUAAACGUUGGGAACUAGGUGUUGGCGACAUUCCACGUCGUCGGUGCCGCAGCUAACGCAUUAAGUUCCCCGCCUGGGGAGUACGGCCGCAAGGCUAAAACUCAAAGGAAUUGACGGGGGCCCGCACAAGCAGCGGAGCAUGUGGCUUAAUUCGACGCAACGCGAAGAACCUUUACCAAGGCUUGACAUAUACCGGAAACGGCCAGAGAUGGCCGCCCCCUUGUGGUCGGUAUACAGGUGGUGCAUGGCUGUCGUCAGCUCGUGUCGUGAGAUGUUGGGUUAAGUCCCGCAACGAGCGCAACCCUUGUUCUGUGUUGCCAGCAUGCCCUUCGGGGUGAUGGGGACUCACAGGAGACUGCCGGGGUCAACUCGGAGGAAGGUGGGGACGACGUCAAGUCAUCAUGCCCCUUAUGUCUUGGGCUGCACACGUGCUACAAUGGCCGGUACAAAGAGCUGCGAAGCCGUGAGGCGGAGCGAAUCUCAAAAAGCCGGUCUCAGUUCGGAUUGGGGUCUGCAACUCGACCCCAUGAAGUCGGAGUUGCUAGUAAUCGCAGAUCAGCAUUGCUGCGGUGAAUACGUUCCCGGGCCUUGUACACACCGCCCGUCACGUCACGAAAGUCGGUAACACCCGAAGCCGGUGGCCCAACCCCUUGUGGGAGGGAGCUUCGAAGGUGAACGGCGUG
This 1432-nucleotide ribosomal RNA is filed under the name Streptomyces sp. RNAcentral's name for it is "bacterial SSU rRNA". It matches the Rfam family "Bacterial small subunit ribosomal RNA". Lineage: Bacteria; Bacillati; Actinomycetota; Actinomycetes; Kitasatosporales; Streptomycetaceae. The record is from RNAcentral.